Pocillopora verrucosa is the source of this 2532-nucleotide long non-coding RNA. RefSeq lists it as uncharacterized. Lineage: Eukaryota; Metazoa; Cnidaria; Anthozoa; Scleractinia; Pocilloporidae. The record is from RefSeq and is a predicted model, not a curated record.
UACCGAGGAAACUAGCGUUUUGCCCUCUUACUAACUUUUCCUCAUAAUUGCCCUGAGCCGCGUGCAAAUUGCGAUAACGUGUAAAUGUUACAUCGGCUCGAUGUUUCAAGCAGUGAUUCAGUCGAUAUUUGAGCCCGGUGUGAACAGCGGACUUCUGACAGCGAUCAACGUCAUAUUCGUGUGUCUUGUGAUUGUGCUUGUAUUUCUUUUGAUAAGUUUUGGUUUCAAUAUCCAUGUGCUGAUGCUGCUCAUCCUUAGUACCGGCCUUCUUCUAUCUAUAAACUGGUUUGUUAGUGAGUUGUGGAGAACAUCCAAAGAGCAGGAAAAAGAGGAAAAGAAGGAUUAAAACAGAACUUUUGAAAACCAAAUAGUCCCCUCUUGAAGUGAUUCAAGUGUGUUACACCUUUGGGAUUUGGUAGAGAGAACACCCUGGAAGGAGCUGAAUUUCAUCUGAUGUGGAAACCUCUUUCAGUGUAAACAGCUUGAAAUUGUCCUGUAUUGUUGUCCUGAGACACAAGAAGCUGGCUGAGGAUUACUGUGUAGAUGAAUGACCCAUGAUUGACACAUCUGGCCGGAGAUCAAAAUGUAUUGAUUGCAUGUGGACUAUGUCUUAUUAAGAUUUAGAUUUAUUGAAUUUGUUGCAUGGGGACAUAAAUAAUAAGAUAUUUAAAUCGAUAAAAUUAUUAAAUAGAAUCAUAUGUAUCAAACAGCAACUGAAUUGACAUCCAGCCCCAGUAAAAGUACAUAUUACCCUAAACAAUGAGAAAUUAAGUUGAUAUUAAGUUACUAAAUAGGGGAGUAUUUUAAGAUGAAAUGUAUGGCCCUACUAAUUCACAGUCACACUUACACUUUUAACUUACAUCCCACUGUUUCUGAAGAUUAUAAGAAAGAGUUGUUAACCUUUAUAGGGCUAAAAGCCUGUGUUAAAUAGUGUCUGUGCUGUCACCGUGUAUUUUCCAGAGGUUUGCUCCACAUAGUUGUUAAGUAUGAAAUACUCUGUUGGUUUGUGUAAAGAGGUCUCUGAAAUUUGUAAAACCAGCCCAGUCAUAUGUGCCAUUAUCUUACACCUGGCUUCAUUGAAGGCUCUUUUAGGUAUACCCAUAAGCUUUGAUCCAUGAGGAGAUCUCACAUCCCAUCUCCCUUUCCCCCUCCAAAUUCCCUUCUGGCUCUCAGUGCUUCCAAAUACUUUAAAAGUCCCCUAAAAUGACAUCUUUCAAGGCUACUGUCAUGUAAAAAAGAAUUUUUAGAAAGUAAGCCCUUUUCAGGAAAGUUUAUAACUUUUACCUCACUUGGUUCACCUGAACACCUGAGACUGUUUCAUUUCCAUGGCUCACUUUUUCAUCAUUCAGCAUUGCUACAUGAUGCAGGCCUUAAUCACACAUAUUUUAUUUCAAAUAUAUUUUUUUAAUGGUACAGAAAUUAGUCCCCCCUCCUCUCUCUCUCUCUUUCUCUUUCUAUCUCUGACUUAAAAACAAACAAGCAAACAAACAAACAAACUACUCUUAAAAAUCCUUUGUACCCAGAGGAGAAAAUGUGGAAGUUUAAAAGGAAACAUUUCCAAAACACUCUGCUGAUUAAACCUUUAUUAAACCCAAUUACAAUCUAAAUAUUGCUGAUACAAUUUUGUACGUGAAGCAUUUUUAAAUGGCACUUCUUUUAAGGAUGCUACAUUUAUCAGUAUGGUUACUAUGGUUACUGUUAAUAUUAUCUUUAAAUUUGUAAUAUGUUUAAAUAUCUGCAACAGAAAUGCAUGGUAAGUAAUCUAAAAAAUUUUGAUACAUUGUAAGUUAUAUACAUAAUGCUUAACCAUUUAACUCCUGGAUCUGAUCGUUGAUUUUCCCUUCUACCUGCUAAGCAUUUUCUUGUAAAUUAGUCACAAAGAUUUGAUAAUAGAUCAAGAUAACAAUUUCUACCUGGUACGUUCGAGCAUUGUUAUAACCUAGUGUUGGCUGAAUACAGUAUGGAUGUUACAAGGAGAAGUUACAUGUUAAUCACUGGAAGUUACAGAGUUAAAUCUUUCUAUUUUUCCUUUCUAAAACAAAAGGUUUGCAGGGAAAGUUGUCAAGGAAACUAAAACGUUUUCAACCCUAAUGCAUGAAAAUGCAGAAAAUAUUUAUUUUUUGCCUUAAAUUUUUGUUCUUUAACCCUUUAACUCCCAUGAGUGAUCAAGAAAGAAUUUCUCCUUACAAUAUCACCACAGAAUCAAGCAGACAAGUGAGGAGAAUAAAGAAAAAACUCAAUUAAGGAACUACAAGUUGAUCCAAUACCAAAUUCUCCAAAUUGAAAUGGUAAGUAUUUUAUGGCAGGAAAAAGGGAGAAUUACUAAUGAAAUCUUGGGAGUUAAAAGGUUAAGGGAAACACAUUUUCCUUCUAUUUGUGAGUUGUGUGUGAAACACAAGUGUCCCAGGUCCAUAACAGGACCAUUUGGGAACAUAAAGCAAUAUAUGGCUGGUUCAGUUAUUUAAUAUGUCAUUUUAUACAUGUGUAUGUUCACAAUAAAUAAUUCUGCAGGAACUCGCAUGAACUUCACAA